RNAcentral lists this ribosomal RNA (497 nucleotides) under uncultured bacterium. Its description in RNAcentral is "partial 16S ribosomal RNA". It matches the Rfam family "Bacterial small subunit ribosomal RNA", at positions 28 to 507 of the family's 1533-position model. The record is from RNAcentral.
GAUGAACGCUGGCGGCGUGCCUAAUACAUGCCAGUCGAGCGAACAGACGAGGAGCUUGCUCCUCUGACGUUAGCGGCGGACGGGUGAGUAACACGUGGAUAACCUACCUAUAAGACUGGGAUAACUUCGGGAAACCGGAGCUAAUACCGGAUAAUAUAUUGAACCGCAUGGUUCAAUAGUGAAAGACGGUUUUGCUGUCACUUAUAGAUGGAUCCGCGCCGCAUUAGCUAGUUGGUAAGGUAACGGCUUACCAAGGCAACGAUGCGUAGCCGACCUGAGAGGGUGAUCGGCCACACUGGAACUGAGACACGGUCCAGACUCCUACGGGAGGCAGCAGUAGGGAAUCUUCCGCAAUGGGCGAAAGCCUGAUGGAGCAACGCCGCGUGAGUGAUGAAGGUCUUCGGAUCGUAAAACUCUGUUAUUAGGGAAGAACAAAUGUGUAAGUAACUAUGCACGUCUUGACGGUACCUAAUCAGAAAGCCACGGCUAACUACGUG